AAUGAACGUUGGCGGCAUGGAUUAGGCAUGCAAGUCGAGCGAGAAGCUGUCGAUGGAGAUUUCGAUCGAAGUCGAUGGUGGACAGCGGCGAAAGGGUGAGUAACGCGUAGUUACGUGCCCCAGGGUCUAGAAUAGCCUCGGGAAACUGAGGGUAAUGCUGGAUAAUAUCUCCGGAUCAAAGGUGAGAUUCCGCCCUGGGAGCGGACUGCGUACUACUAGCUUGUUGGCGGGGUAAUGGCCCACCAAGGCGACGAUGGUUAGCGGGCGUGAGAGCGUGGCCCGUCACACUGGGACUGAGACACUGCCCAGACACCUACGGGUGGCUG
Molecule: ribosomal RNA, 326 nt
Filed under: uncultured Planctomycetota bacterium
Lineage: Bacteria; Pseudomonadati; Planctomycetota
Description: bacterial SSU rRNA
Rfam family: Bacterial small subunit ribosomal RNA
Source: RNAcentral